This 253-nucleotide ribosomal RNA is filed under the name uncultured bacterium. Its description in RNAcentral is "partial 16S ribosomal RNA". It matches the Rfam family "Bacterial small subunit ribosomal RNA", at positions 524 to 776 of the family's 1533-position model. The record is from RNAcentral.
UACAGAGGGCUCGAGCGUUGUUCGGAUUUAUUGGGCGUAAAGGGCGCGUAGGCGGCUGUGCAAGUCAAAGGUGAAAUCCCUCGGCUCAACUGAGGAACUGCCUUUGAAACUGUACGGCUUGAGGCCGGGAGGGGGUAGCGGAAUUCCCAGUGUAGCGGUGAAAUGCGUAGAUACUGGGAGGAACACCAGUGGCGAAGGCGGCUACCUGGACCAGUUCUGACGCUGAGGCGCGAAAGCGUGGGUAGCAAACAGG